GGCUUUCUAACUUCCCUUUUCUUUCUCCCUUGUGAACCCUCACCACGAACUCCUUCUCCACCCGGCUCCCCUUCUUCCGACCACCGAAUCAGGCGGCCUCCUCUUCUCUCCUCCAGCCUCUUCACCUGACCGGCUCCGCCGGCUCACUCUCCGGCAACCACCACCAGCGCCACCUCCAUGUCAGGAGAGCACGGGAUGGGAAGGAGCCCGGCAGCUGCCCUCCUCCCUCCCCUGCGCUAGACGCCGCUGGAUUCGGGCUCCCCUGGCAAGGGCACCGCCGGAUCUCGAGUCCCCCGACCCCGACUUCGCCGGAUCCAUGCCAGCCCCGCCGCCGCCCAAGCUCCCCGACCCCGCCUUCGCCGGAUCCAGGCCAGCCCCUCCGCCGGGCAUUUGGGUGAAGAAGAUUUCUACAUCCCAUAAUUGACUCCAUCCAGUAAGGCUACUCUGAGUCUUGACGGUACAAGCUUCCUCUAAUAAUGACAGAUGAUACAAAAAGCAUGGAGACAAUUACUUCCACUUUUGUAGCUGAAGAUUUGGUUGAACAGACUGCUCUAGAAGCUUCUCAGAACAUGAAUAUAGAUCCCUCGGACCACGCAAAUGCUCUUCCAAAAGGCAUUGGCAAACAGUACUUCACCAUAGGAAUGAAUCCGGAGUAUUUUUCAAUAUCUCUAUCAAUUAUGUGCUGAAAAAGAGUUAUCCAAUUGACAAUCUAAACUUCGAUACAUUGUUACCAGCCCCACGGGUCACACCACUACUCUUCUCUGAUACUAUCACAUCACUUGAUUAUUUCUUCUAAUAAACUGGCAUUUUCAGGACAACACAAAGAUAUAUUAUCGCUCCAAGCUGCCACCGACAUGAAUUCAUCUCAAAUGUUUGUCAUCUAAUUUUUUUCCUUUCAAGGUUCUAAGGUCUUACUUUUCCAUCUGAAAUUAUUUUGGACAUGCAGCAAUUCCAGUUCAGGUGUUACUAUACCACCAUCUACACAAGAGAAAAUUUCAGACAAACAAUCUGAAAGUCUUUUCCGAACCAAAAUUAGUUCUUUUAGUUUCUAAUUUGUAGCAUGAUAUCAGCUCAAGUACCAAAAGACAGCUUGAUUUUGAGCAGAACAAUGGUGAAGAUAUUCAAAGGUAUUCCAUUUGUAUUUUGUUUCCUAUUGCACCAUAAUUUUCCAUAUGAUAUAUAUUGUCAUAUCAUCCGUAGCAAUGCCAAACCGAAUGCUAAUUGCGACAUAAGCAAAGGUAUGUGCUACUUCCACAAUAAGUAAACUAAAUACGUACCAUUUUAAAAGUUUCUAACUUCUCAUAUAGUUUUCAAGAAGAUCCCACCUCUUGACCGAUCUUCUCAGCAACACGAGAUGAUCACUUUCAUCAAAUAUAAAUAAAUACAGGUAAACCUCUAAAUGUCAUCACAUCUGCAAUCUUCUUAUUUUUGGCAACUAUACUCCUCUCUGCCACAUUACUAAAAAGGGAGAUCUGAAAUACUUUACACAUUGCCAAUUUGAUCAUAUACUUCCAAAUAAACUUUCUGUUUCAAAUAUUCGAACAAGUUUCUGUUUAAAAUACUAACAUGGUUGUUCAUGGAUUAUAUGCAAGUCAAUGUGCAGAGCUGUUGAUGCAUAAGGAUCGAUCAUGGCAUCCUGAAUGGAUAUGCGCACCUACUGUGCUUCAUGCACAUCCCCCACAUCAGUCAUGAUAAUUACUUAGUUGUGUUUGCGAACUUUUCAAUGAUUUGUGGUGACGUCGGAUGUAUUUUGCUGCAAUGAUGUUACCUGCAACGUAUUAUGUACAUCCUUUCGUUUGCUUUGAGUUACAUGAUGUUCUCCUGACAAAUAGUUCAGUCUACA
Molecule: long non-coding RNA, 1843 nt
Organism: Brachypodium distachyon (stiff brome)
Lineage: Eukaryota; Viridiplantae; Streptophyta; Magnoliopsida; Poales; Poaceae
Exons: 3
Source: RefSeq, a predicted model, not a curated record